UAAUACACAGACACAUUCCUUGAAUUCUUCUAUUUACAACACUGCGUGAUCGAUCCAAUUACUCCAAUUCACUUUUGGUCUGUGUAGGAUAUUUCACUAUACUUUAAUUUCAGGUAGGAAGAUUAUUAGGGUAGGAGUUUACAAAAAUCUCAAUUAGACGAUGAAAGUCAAGUUUAGCCUUAAAGCUUAGUCCACACUACGGUAUUUGCUUUUAUGAUUAUCGUAAAAUUCACUACCCCGUGAUGUAACUACCAUAAUGAACUAUUGAACCAUAUUGAGCAGAUACAUACUAUCGUUUUAUUGAUCUGUCUUGACGGCAUUUUUACAGAUGUUUUUAUCUAAAUUCACUCUACUAUCUACUAUGUAUAUAUUGUGUUCUAAUAACAAAAUCAUGGGGAUGCUGUAUCUUUUAACGGUUUAACUAUCAUGAUGGUAGUAACUAUCAUCGUCUGGACCAAAGGUUUCUAUUUUAAAGGUAACAACGGGGGAAAUUCGUACGUUGUAUUUUAUUGAAAUAAAUAGCUUUAUAUUAUUAUAAAACUGAACUUAUUAUUUACAAGUGACGUAUGACGCAUAUAAUAGUAUAUUAUAGUAACGAGUAAAAUGCGAUGCGUUCAAACUUCAUUCGAGACAAUUACGAAGCGUUGUCGUCGGCCUUGACAAAUUGAUACAAUAUGACGCAGUCUUCUCGUAUAAUAACAACGGAUGACUUUGUUAGUUUUGUCUCUAAUUCGAGAUAAUAUUACUCUUUUCCGGCUUAACUACGGAUAGGAACGGUUAGAAAUCGCCGAUUUUUCAAUUAAUAUUUAAUAUAUUAUAAGAGCUUUUCAUCCGGAUAACGAAUACUGUUGGCUUUCCCGUUCUUUGACUUUGGUGAAGUAAU
This is a non-coding RNA of Cinara cedri, 883 nucleotides long. NCBI's taxonomy places the organism in Eukaryota, Metazoa, Arthropoda, Insecta, Hemiptera, Aphididae. The record is from the annotation of a GenBank genome assembly.